This 579-nucleotide ribosomal RNA is filed under the name Mycobacterium sp. HRRP063. RNAcentral's name for it is "bacterial SSU rRNA". It matches the Rfam family "Bacterial small subunit ribosomal RNA", at positions 102 to 694 of the family's 1533-position model. The record is from RNAcentral. Lineage: Bacteria; Bacillati; Actinomycetota; Actinomycetes; Mycobacteriales; Mycobacteriaceae.
ACGGGUGAGUAACACGUGGGUGAUCUGCCCUGCACUUCGGGAUAAGCCUGGGAAACUGGGUCUAAUACCGGAUACACCUCAUGGACUGCAUGGUCUGUGGGGGAAAGCUUUUGCGGUGUGGGAUGGGCCCGCGGCCUAUCAGCUUGUUGGUGGGGUGAUGGCCUACCAAGGCGACGACGGGUAGCCGGCCUGAGAGGGUGACCGGCCACACUGGGACUGAGAUACGGCCCAGACUCCUACGGGAGGCAGCAGUGGGGAAUAUUGCACAAUGGGCGCAAGCCUGAUGCAGCGACGCCGCGUGGGGGAUGACGGCCUUCGGGUUGUAAACCCCUUUCAGCACAGACGAAGCGCAAGUGACGGUAUGUGCAGAAGAAGGACCGGCCAACUACGUGCCAGCAGCCGCGGUAAUACGUAGGGUCCGAGCGUUGUCCGGAAUUACUGGGCGUAAAGAGCUCGUAGGUGGUUUGUCACGUUGUUCGUGAAAACCCACAGCUCAACUGUGGGCGUGCGAGCGAUACGGGCAGACUAGAGUACUGCAGGGGAGACUGGAAUUCCUGGUGUAGCGGUGGAAUGCGCAGA